GGUCCCUGAGUUAGUAUUUUCUUCUACGCGAGCUCUAUUUUCUUUUCCGUUUUCUGUUUUUCCAGUCAGCUCUUUAAUAAUCCCAAUUCCACGCUCACAAGACCCUCUAAUCAUGAAAAUCAAUUAAUUUAGAGUUCAAAUAAAGAAAAUCAUGAGUCGAAACGAGUUUCGAUUCUUCUUGUCCUGCAACAUCAAUCUCCGGGUGACCUUUCGCAUCGAGAGAUUAGAAGGAUUGUUGCUUUCUACCAAAUCUCCUAAUUCAGGAACUGAUCCCGCAACAGAGGAGAGAAAAGCGGGGCUCUACGUGGAGUGUGCAUUGUACAUUGAUGGUGCUCCAUUUGGCCUUCCCAUAAGAACAAGGUUAGAGUCCUCUGGGCCAUCGUAUUGCUGGAAUGAGCUGAUUUCACUUAGUACUAAAUAUCGAGACUUAACUGCACAUUCCCAGCUUGCUGUAACUGUUUGGGAUGUUUCACGUGGGAAAGAUGAGGCUUUAAUUGGUGGGGCUACUAUUCUUCUUUUCAACAGUAGAAUGCAACUCAAAACAGGCAAGCAAAAGCUUAGGCUUUGGCCAGGAAAAGGAGCUGAUGGAUCAUUUCCAACAACUACUCCUGGAAAGGUUCCUGAUUGCAGCUAUGUUUUCAACAAAGAUGUGAGAUAUGUUCUCCAAGAUAAUUUCUGCCAUGUGUUUUACUCUGCAUAAUUGUGGAAUAGGUACCCAGGCAUGAGCGUGGGGAGUUGGAGCGUUUAGAAAAGCUUGUGAAUAAAUAUGAGAGGGGACAGAUUCAGACAUUCAGUGCAUUGAUUGGAUUGACUGUCUUACAUUCAAAGCUAUGGAGAAAAUCAAGGAACGUGAGAGCUGUAGAAAUGGAAGUUCUCAUUUAUACUUGGUCAUUGAUUUCUGCAGUUUUGAACAUCGAGUUGUUUUUCAGGAGUCUGGAGCAAAUUUCUUAUUACCAUCUCCUAUAGCUUCAACAAAUGAACUUGUUAUUGUGUGGGACCCAGAACUGGGAAAGAUAAAUCCCUCUGAGCAUAAGCAGCUAAAAUUGGCUAGGAGUCUAACUCGUGGUAUUGUUGACAGGGAUCUGAAGCCAAGCUCCAAUGAACGAAAGUAAACUUAAAAAUUCCUGUUGUGGAAGAUGCAAAUAAUUGCUUGUUAACUCUAGUUGGAAUUAUCUGAAGUUAAUUAUACUUCUCUAUUCAGUCUUGCCAUUGGCCUAUACUGAGCAUCUCACUUACACAUUGACAGUGUCCGUGUUGGUGUGUCCAUAGUUUAGUGCUUCAUUAGUAAUUGUUGGAUGUCGAUACAUUUAACUGAAUUUGUACAAAGGAUUCCUUUUGAGGUUUUGUGCAAUGUGCUAGCUAGAUUAUCUGCGACAUAACUGAUGACUAAAAGUUUUCUAGGUUUUGAUGUGUCAUCAUGUAUUGAUUAGGUCAUUUGUACCAUUUUGUCUCAGGUCAAUACAAAGAAUUCUAAAAUAUCCUCCAACAAGGACUUUGAAUGGAGAUGAGAGACAGCUUCUUUGGAAAUUCCGUUUCUCCUUGAUGUCUGAGAAGAGGGCUCUCACAAAGUUUUUACGAUGUGUUGAAUGGAGCGAUGUUCAGGUUAGCAUUAUUUUAUUUUCUCUGUGGAUCAUAUGCCUUGUAAUCUAAUAUAUAGGUCAACUAGUUGAAACGAUCCUUUUACUUUUUCUUCUGUUACUAACUUCCUUUUCUCAUGCAUAAAACUUUGGAUCUCGACUUCAUGCAAAUAUGCAGGUUCGAAAAAGAUGGCAAGAUUUUGCACCAGAUAUUGGUUCAGUAGUUGGUUUAGAGUAAUCGAUCAUAUCAUCAUCUACUGAUCUUAAUGAUAGUGAUUUUAAUCUGCUAGUGUCAUCCUAUUAGUUUAUGCCUUUUAUGUUGUUAGUAAACCAGAUAUUGGUCAUUUAUGAAGAUUGUUAUCCUUAUUGAUGCAUUUUCAGGAAGCAAAACAGGCAUUAGAAAUGAUGGGUAGAUGGGAAAUGAUUGAUGUGUGUGAUGCACUGGAGCUUCUGUCGCCUGUUUUUGAAAGCGAAGAGGUUCGUGCAUAUGCUGUUAGUGUUCUUGAAAGAGCUGAUGAUGAAGAGCUCCAGUGUUACUUACUUCAACUUGUUCAAGCUCUUCGGUUUGAGCGCUCUGAUAAAUCUUGCCUUUGUCAAUUCCUUGUCCAACGCUCGUUGAACAACAUUGAGUUGGCAAGCUUUCUUCGUUGGUACGUUGCUGUGGAACUUUAUGAUCCUGCAUAUGCCAAACGUUUUUAUUGUACUUACGAGAUCCUGGAAGAGAAUAUGAUGAAGUUGGCAGGUGGUCCAAAUGGAGAGGAAGAUGGAUUCAAGUUGUGGCAGAGUUUGGUGCGUCAGACAGAAUUGACAGCUCAGUUAUGUUCUAUAAUGAGAGAUGUAAGAAAUGUGCGAGGCAACACUCAAAAAAAAAUUGAAAAGCUUAGACAACUUCUCUCUGGUCUUCUCAGUGAGCUAACCUAUUUUGAAGAGCCAAUACGAUCACCACUUGCACCUGGUGUCCUUAUCACUGGGAUUGUACCAUCAGAGUCAUCAAUAUUUAAAAGCGCACUCCAUCCAUUGCGUUUGACUUUCCGAACACAAUGUGGUGGAACUAGCAAAAUCAUAUUUAAGAAGGGUGAUGAUAUUCGGCAAGAUCAAUUGGUUGUUCAAAUGGUAUCUCUAAUGGAUCGACUACUUAAACUGGAAAACCUCGAUCUGCACUUAACUCCAUAUAAGGUGCUUGCUACUGGACAAGAUGAAGGCAUGCUUGAAUUCAUACCAUCACGAUCAUUAGCUCAGAUUCUCUCAGAGCAUCGAAGCAUUAUAAGCUAUUUGCAGAAGUUUCAUCCUGAUGAACAUGGACCAUUUGGGAUUACAGCCACUUGUCUUGAAACAUUUAUUAAAAGUUGUGCUGGAUACUCUGUCAUCACAUACAUAUUGGGAAUUGGGGACCGGUAAUCAUUUAGUUAUGUACAUUAAAAUGUUUAGAUAUGCAUCAUGCCACUUGGAUGAGCACUUUAAUCUUUCCAUUUUGUAGUGAAGCCUGUUGGGAAGAGUGGGGUGGGGAGGCCGUGUGCCUGUUUCUUCAAAUUUGCCAACACUAUACUAUAGACCAUGAUAUUAAGUUUUUUGGGUGUUCUGUUUAGAAAUAAAAUCUACAUAUUUCUGGGCAGUGUAAAAUAUCAGAUGAAUUCAUAAUUUCUUAUUGAAGUUUAGUAAUGCAAAAUUUAUAUCCUUUUUGAAGUGCAUAAACUUUUUUUUUGUGGAUCAUAUUUGCAUGAAGUUUAAAUUCAGAGAAAAAGAAAAGAUUGGUGCUUCCUCACAGUGUAAAACCAAGAAAUGCACUUUUUCCAUUCCCCUCCUUCCUAGGUUCACUUUGCUUAUGGAAAGUGUACUUCUGCCUCUUUAACCGCAAGAAAGUCAAAAUUUUAAAAAAGAAAAUGAAAAGAAAGGUAAGAAAGGUGAAAAUUAGAGUUGCUGUUUUAUGCUGUAUUGACGUGCAAUCUGACAUCUGAAAUUUCAUGCCUGUAUUCUGUUACAAUUCUAUUAUAUUUAUGAUUUUCUACAAGUGCCAUUCUACUUUUGUGCAAAAGUUACUUCAAUCUGCUAGCAUCUUAAAUUUCUGCUUCAUAAGGCUAUUGCUGUUUCAAACAUCUUCAUUUUUCUUGUUUUGCAGGCACCUUGAUAACCUUCUCCUUAGGGAUGAUGGGCGUCUUUUCCAUGUCGAUUUUGGUUUCAUUCUUGGACGGGAUCCUAAACCAUUUCCUCCACCAAUGAAGCUCUGUAAGGAAAUGGUUGAGGCUAUGGGUGGCGCAGAAAGCCAAUAUUAUACCAGGUUCAAAUCAUAUUGUUGUGAAGCAUACAACAUCCUCCGAAAAUCUAGUAACCUAAUCUUGAAUCUUUUCCACCUGAUAGCGGGUUCCAAUAUUCCGGACAUAGCUUUUGAUCCUGAAAAGAGCAUUCUUAAGCUUCAAGAGAAGUUUCGGUUGGAUCUGGAUGAUGAGGCUGCCAUACACUUCUUCCAGGAUCUUAUUAAUGAGAGUGUCAGUGCAUUGUUCCCACAAAUGGUUGAGACCAUUCAUCGCUGGGCUCAGUACUGGCGCUAACCCCAGAAGCAAAUUUGGUUUUAUCCAUGCUUCUGUAAAUAGCAAGUUAAGAUUUAGAUGUUGCAGGAUUGACAAGCUUUUAUAAAAUUAGUGAUGCUAAGAAUUGUAGCACACUCAAUCCAAACACGUGAUAUUUCCAAAAAUGUCAGUCUUUGUUUAUAGGCUAAGAUAAAGAAAAUAUUGUGUUUUUUUGUUCUUGGAUGAAUUUGUCUCAAAAUCCCCCUUAUCUGGCUUGAUUAUACAACUCAUUCUUCAAAUGGUUUUUAC
Molecule: unclassified non-coding RNA, 4390 nt
Filed under: Hevea brasiliensis (rubber tree)
Lineage: Eukaryota; Viridiplantae; Streptophyta; Magnoliopsida; Malpighiales; Euphorbiaceae
Source: RNAcentral